CAGCCGCCGCGGGAAUACGAAGGGUGCAAGCGUUACUCGGAAUUACUGGGCGUAAAGCGUGCGUAGGUGGUGGUUUAAGUCCGUUGUGAAAGCCCUGGGCUCAACCUGGGAAUUGCAGUGGAUACUGGGUCACUAGAGUGUGGUAGAGGAUAGUGGAAUUUCCGGUGUAGCAGUGAAAUGCGUAGAGAUCGGAAGGAACAUCUGUGGCGAAGGCGACUAUCUGGGCCAACACUGACACUGAGGCACGAAAGCGUGGGGAGCAAACAGGAUUAGAUAUCCCGGUAGUCCCUGUCUCUUAUAC
RNAcentral lists this ribosomal RNA (301 nucleotides) under uncultured bacterium. Its description in RNAcentral is "partial 16S ribosomal RNA". It matches the Rfam family "Bacterial small subunit ribosomal RNA", at positions 509 to 807 of the family's 1533-position model. The record is from RNAcentral.